RNAcentral lists this long non-coding RNA (3151 nucleotides) under Pan paniscus (pygmy chimpanzee). RNAcentral's name for it is "lncRNA (ENSPPAG00000044940.1)". Lineage: Eukaryota; Metazoa; Chordata; Mammalia; Primates; Hominidae. The record is from RNAcentral.
AGGGCCUCUCCCCACCCUCCAUCACGUCCCAGCCCCUACAGAAGCUGCUGUUAUCAUGUUUAUGAGCCUCCACAACCACAGACAGGCAAAUUUGCAUAUAAAUAACCUGCCAGCACUGGAGGCUGUGAGAGGCACCUGGUAACGACUCUGUUUAUUACUCUGGAGAGAGAAAGGGAGCAAGAAGGCCUUGUGCGCUGGCUGGCCCAAGCGGGAUGGCUACAUUUCCACCCACCGAUUAGCUGAGAAAGGGUCAGUGACCCCCAAACAGCAGAGGAGGAAGAAACGUAAAGCCGUGCAGCUCCUCCUCUUUGGGAAACCCUGACCCUCGCAGCUAGAGACUGUAGAAGCCACCACAUCACCAAGGAUGGUCCAGCCUGAAAAUGAAUGCAGGGAGCCAGCAUCUGCUGGGAAAUGGAAGGGAACCUGGGAAGAACUUGCAAUAACUGGGAAGAAGCAGACAAAGUGCCACUCCUGCCUGAUGAUGCCAGCAGCCCUGCAGGGUCCUCCUUUAUCCACUCAGCCCCACACCAAGAAGAAUUUCAGAAGGCCAGUGGUGGCUCCAGACACACAGCUCGAGCCUGGAUUUAAUUUGUUUUGGUGAAAGGACCCUGGACUAAGAACAAGGACACGAAGAGGAUGGGGCAGCCCUGAGACAGGUUUCUCAUCCUCUCUCUGCUGGGCAGGACCUUCCAGAGGCAUCCAGGGCAGCUCUCCACCCCCAAUGCCAGAUGCAGUAUCAGGUGCACAGAGCACCAGAAUAGGAGUCCAGAGACCUCAGCUGUGGGCCCAGCUCCUCAGUUGGUGCUAUGUGACCUUGGUCAAUUCACUGGAUGACUGAGCCUAUUUUCUUCCUCUGUGAAAAUGAGUGUAGUGAAACGUGACUGCCUGCCAGAAACAGAUGAGGAGGGGUGUGAAAAUGCCUUGCCAAGUCCUUUGGAAAGAUCUCCUCCUCAACAGCUAAGGAGACUCAAUAAUGCACACUUCCUAAGUGCAGUAGAAGGACCUGUGAAUAACAAUCUCUUCUAUUGGAUUAACUCUUCCGCAUCUGCUGUGUGGAUCCCCUACCUCGCUGAUGUGCUUGGAAGGCAGGGGAGGCUGCAUGGUGAGGCCCUGCUGGAGCACAGGGAGAGGCCACUUGGCAGAGUGCAGCAUCACAGCCGUGGGCGCCUGAGACCCCACCCCACCAGUGCCUCCGUGGCUGUACCAUGUUCCCAUGCUUCAUCACGCUGUCUCUCAGGGUGGGACCAGGCAUGGUCUUAUUCACCAAGGCAGGAUUCUAAACUCCUGUUUAGAACCCUAUGACUGGCUGGACAGGGGGUGGGCACCUGAGCCAUGGGCAGCCAACUCACAGGCUGACCAGAGGCCUGAUAAAUGACUCAGUGCAGGAGGCAAUUCACUCAACUGCAGUUAUUUGAGCCAAUCAGGCUCUCUCUCAAUGGAAACAGGAAAUAAUAAAGCAGCUGGUGGGAGUGAGAGAAGUGAACGGAGACUCCCUGACAGCAGAUGAGUCCGGCUGGUGGCAGAGUCUGGAAGGAAGAGCCACAAACUCUGGCUGCUGUAAGACCUCAGAAAGCCAUGCCCUGAGAGCUCCACUGGAUCCUGACCUCCCCGCCUCACCCAGUCUCCCAGCCCGGGCCUCAUGAGGGCCUCCCCAUGCCGUAGCUCCUGAUCUAGAUGUUAUCGUGAAUAUCCUUGCAAUUAAUCUCCAUGUUCUGGCAGGCUCUGGAUACGCUGGGGAAACAGCACAGGGGUUCAUAAAUUUGCCUGAUUAAAAAUCACAUGGGCAAUUUGUUAAACCUGCAGACUCCAGGGUCCCGUUUCAGACCAUUGAAUCAGAAUGCCCAGGAUGGACUCCAAGAUGUGUACUUAACAAACACCCAGGGUGAGUCUUACGGCGAACUUGGGAGACACUGGUUUAUUGCCAUCCCCCUUAAUUCAUCCACAUGAGUGUGCUGAAUUCAAUGUACAAACACCAAGUUGCUUAAAAGGAGAAAAAAAAUACCAUUUUGGGAGCCAGCCAGGCAAAAAAAAAAAAAAAGGGAUGUUGCACAAAUUUCUCAUCUCCUUCAUCCUUUACCUGGCCCCCAGGCAGGCUUUUCUAACCGUUGGAGUAGUUUCCCUCUGGAUGGAUGUCACCAGGUGGAUAUGAUGUCAGUGCCUUCUGGGGCCACUGCUGGACCAACAAGUUUAGUUGCAGAAACGAGGGAAGUCACACUUCUGUGGAAGAAAUCUCUGGUUGUUCCCAAAUAUUCAUUUUUCUCUCCUCUGUGGCAAUAGAAUUUUUAGCUGGACACAUAGCAGCCCAAAAUAAAGAAAACACCUUCCUAGCCUCCCUUGCAGUUAGAUGGGGCCAUAUGACUAAGUUGUGCCAAAGGGAUGCCACAUGGGAUGUGAGCAAAAUGUAUACAAGUUACAAAUCAGGGCUAUGGAAAGGAGCAUGCCCUCCUCUUCCACUUCACCCUUCCCACUGGCUGGAAUGCAGACCUGGUGGUAAGGCACCUUAAACCACUGAAUAAGGCCAAAUCCCAGGAUGCCAGAGCAAUAAGGUAGAAGGGACCUGGGUUCCUGUACCAGGGAGCAGCUGCACCAAUCCUGUUAUAGGAGAGAGACGUACAUUUCUAGUUUGUAAAAGCCACUGUUGUUUUGGAGUUUGUUAUAGCAUUACUGCAGUUGAAGCUGUAUCUUAACUACAGAGUCUUAGUGCAGUUUCCACCCAGGGAAUGUGUUCACCACAGCCAUCCCACUUCACGGCAAGGCUCAACCCCCCAGAAAGCUUCCUCCAUGCCCUCCCACCCAUCAGAGCAGAGUCUGUGCUUACUGGGUCCUUGUACUUAGAGCCAGGACACCAGAAGCAGGAGUCACCUCCCACUGGCAUAGUCACUGGCAUUCUAGCACAUUCCACACUCAGAGUGGAUUUUUUAUAAAACCCUUUCCUCUAUUCAACAAAAUUAUUUUCAGUAAUAACCAUGGAAUGAAACAAAUAUUAAUAAUGGCCAGAAAUUAAACACAAACAGUGGAAGUGUUCUUUUAUUGAACCUCAUAUAUAUAAUCAUUCCAAUAAAAGAUUAAAAAAAUACUUUAGGUAAAUAAUUGUCUAGUAAUUAAUAAGUGAAUUUUAAUAAAACUCAAACAUUUGCAAAUGGCACAAUUU